GACGAACGCUGGCGGCGUGCCUAAUACAUGCAAGUCGAACGAGUGGCGGACGGGUGAGUAAUGUCUGGGAAACUGCCCGAUGGAGGGCGAUAACUACUGGAAACGGUAGCUAAUACCUCAUACCAUCGGAUGUGUCCAGAUGGGAUUAGCUAGUAGGUGGGGUAACGGCGCACCUAGGCGACGAUCCCUAGCUGGUCUGAGAGGAUGACCAGCCACACUGGAACGGAGACACGGUCCAGACUCCGACGGGAGGCAGCAGUGGGGAAUAGUGCACAAGGGGCGGAAGCCUGAUGCAGCCAUGCCGCGUGUAUGAAGAAUGCCUUCGGGUUGUAAAGUACUUUCAGCGAGGAGGCGUUACUCGCAGAAGAAGCACCGGCUAACUCCGUGCCAGCAGCCGCGGUAAUAC
This 406-nucleotide ribosomal RNA is filed under the name uncultured bacterium. RNAcentral describes it as "partial 16S ribosomal RNA". It matches the Rfam family "Bacterial small subunit ribosomal RNA", at positions 28 to 526 of the family's 1533-position model. The record is from RNAcentral.